RNAcentral lists this ribosomal RNA (949 nucleotides) under Psychrobacter sp. 27F07n-MB1-5b. RNAcentral's name for it is "bacterial SSU rRNA". It matches the Rfam family "Bacterial small subunit ribosomal RNA", at positions 504 to 1452 of the family's 1533-position model. Lineage: Bacteria; Pseudomonadati; Pseudomonadota; Gammaproteobacteria; Moraxellales; Moraxellaceae. The record is from RNAcentral.
UGUGCCAGCAGCCGCGGUAAUACAGAGGGUGCAAGCGUUAAUCGGAAUUACUGGGCGUAAAGCGAGCGUAGGUGGCUUGAUAAGUCAGAUGUGAAAGCCCCGGGCUUAACCUGGGAACGGCAUCUGAUACUGUUAGGCUAGAGUAGGUGAGAGGAAGGUAGAAUUCCAGGUGUAGCGGUGAAAUGCGUAGAGAUCUGGAGGAAUACCGAUGGCGAAGGCAGCCUUCUGGCAUCAUACUGACACUGAGGUUCGAAAGCGUGGGUAGCAAACAGGAUUAGAUACCCUGGUAGUCCACGCCGUAAACGAUGUCUACUAGUCGUUGGGUCCCUUGAGGACUUAGUGACGCAGCUAACGCAAUAAGUAGACCGCCUGGGGAGUACGGCCGCAAGGUUAAAACUCAAAUGAAUUGACGGGGGCCCGCACAAGCGGUGGAGCAUGUGGUUUAAUUCGAUGCAACGCGAAGAACCUUACCUGGUCUUGACAUAUCUAGAAUCCUGCAGAGAUGCGGGAGUGCCUUCGGGAAUUAGAAUACAGGUGCUGCAUGGCUGUCGUCAGCUCGUGUCGUGAGAUGUUGGGUUAAGUCCCGCAACGAGCGCAACCCUUGUCCUUAGUUACCAGCGGUUUGGCCGGGAACUCUAAGGAUACUGCCAGUGACAAACUGGAGGAAGGCGGGGACGACGUCAAGUCAUCAUGGCCCUUACGACCAGGGCUACACACGUGCUACAAUGGUAGGUACAGAGGGCAGCUACACAGCGAUGUGAUGCGAAUCUCAAAAAGCCUAUCGUAGUCCAGAUUGGAGUCUGCAACUCGACUCCAUGAAGUAGGAAUCGCUAGUAAUCGCGGAUCAGAAUGCCGCGGUGAAUACGUUCCCGGGCCUUGUACACACCGCCCGUCACACCAUGGGAGUUGAUUGCACCAGAAGUGGUUAGCCUAACCUUUUAGGAAGGCG